GGUGAACGCUGGCGGCGUGCCUAAUACAUGCAAGUCGAGCGAACAGACGAGGUGCUUGCUCCUCUGACGUUAGCGGCGGACGGGUGAGUAACACGUGGAUAACCUACCUAUAAGACUGGGAUAACUUCGGGAAACCGGAGCUAAUACCGGAUAAUAUAUUGAACCGCAUGGUUCAAUAGUGAAAGACGGUUUUGCUGUCACUUAUAGAUGGAUCCGCGCCGCAUUAGCUAGUUGGUAAGGUAACGGCUUACCAAGGCAACGAUGCGUAGCCGACCUGAGAGGAUGAUCAGCCACACUGGAACUGAGACACGGUCCAGACUCCUACGGGAGGCAGCAGUAGGGAAUCUUCCGCAAUGGGCGAAAGCCUGACGGAGCAACGCCGCGUGAGUGAUGAAGGUCUUCGGAUCGUAAAACUCUGUUAUUAGGGAAGAACAAAUGUGUAAGUAACUAUGCACGUCUUGACGGUACCUAAUCAGAAAGCCCCGGCUAACUACGUG
This 497-nucleotide ribosomal RNA is filed under the name uncultured bacterium. RNAcentral describes it as "partial 16S ribosomal RNA". It matches the Rfam family "Bacterial small subunit ribosomal RNA", at positions 28 to 507 of the family's 1533-position model. The record is from RNAcentral.